CUGGGAACUGCAUUGGUGACUGCGGCUAGAGUAUGCAGAGGAGGGUAGAAUUCACGUGUAGCAGUGAAAUGCGUAGAGAUGUGGAGGAAUACCGAUGGCGAAGGCAGCCCCUGAGCCAAUACUGACGCUCAUGCACGAAAGCGUGGAGAGCAAACAGGAUUAGAUACCCUGAGUAGUCACGCCCUAAACGAUGUCAACUAGUUGUCGAGAUCUUCAUUGACUUGAGUAACGAAGCUAACGCGUGAAGUUGACCGCCUGGAGGAGUACGGUCGCAAGAUUAAAACUCAAAGGAAUUGACGGGGACCCGCACAAGCGGUGGAUGAUGUGGAUUAAUUCGAUGCAACGCGAAAAACCUUACCUACCCUUGACAUGUACGGAACCCUGCCGAGAGGUGGGGGUGCCCGAAAGGGAGCCGUAACACAGGUGCUGCAUGGCUGUCGUCAGCUCGUGUCGUGAGAUGUUGGGUUAAGUCCCGCAACGAGCGCAACCCUUGUCCCUAGUU
This 502-nucleotide ribosomal RNA is filed under the name uncultured bacterium. RNAcentral describes it as "bacterial SSU rRNA". It matches the Rfam family "Bacterial small subunit ribosomal RNA", at positions 614 to 1116 of the family's 1533-position model. The record is from RNAcentral.